Molecule: microRNA precursor, 84 nt
Filed under: Papio anubis (olive baboon)
Lineage: Eukaryota; Metazoa; Chordata; Mammalia; Primates; Cercopithecidae
Description: mir-3145 microRNA precursor family
Rfam family: mir-3145 microRNA precursor family
Source: Rfam by way of RNAcentral
UCAUAUAAAGUCAACUCCAAACAUUCAAAACUCAUUGUUGAAUGGAAUUAGGUAUUUUGAGUGUUUGGAAUUGAACUUGUAUGC